AUCUAGCUGUCGUCGUCGU
RNAcentral lists this unclassified non-coding RNA (19 nucleotides) under Mus musculus (house mouse). RNAcentral's name for it is "oocyte_clustered_small_RNA13050". The record is from RNAcentral. Lineage: Eukaryota; Metazoa; Chordata; Mammalia; Rodentia; Muridae.